This 465-nucleotide ribosomal RNA is filed under the name uncultured bacterium. Its description in RNAcentral is "partial 16S ribosomal RNA". It matches the Rfam family "Bacterial small subunit ribosomal RNA", at positions 28 to 507 of the family's 1533-position model. The record is from RNAcentral.
GACGAACGCUGGCGGCGUGCUUAACACAUGCAAGUCGUACGGUAAGGCCCUUUCGGGGGUACACGAGUGGCGAACGGGUGAGUAACACGUGAGUAACCUGCCCACAACUUUGGGAUAACGCUAGGAAACUGGUGCUAAUACUGGAUAUGUGCUCCUGCUGCAUGGUGGGGGUUGGAAAGCUCCGGCGGUUGUGGGUGGACUCGCGGCCUAUCAGCUUGUUGGUGGGGUAGUGGCCUACCAAGGCGGCGACGGGUAGCCGGCCUGAGAGGGUGACCGGCCACAUUGGGACUGAGAUACGGCCCAGACUCCUACGGGAGGCAGCAGGGGGGAAUAUUGCACAAUGGGCGCAAGCCUGAUGCAGCAAGGCCGCGUGCGGGAUGACGGCCUUCGGGUUGUAAAACGCUUUCAGCAGGGACGAAGCUUUUUGUGACGGUACCUGCAGAAGAAGCACCGGCUAACUACGUG